GAUGAACGCUGGCGGCGUGCCUAAUACAUGCAAGUCGAGCGAACGGACGAGAAGCUUGCUUCUCUGAUGUUAGCGGCGGACGGGUGAGUAACACGUGGAUAACCUACCUAUAAGACUGGGAUAACUUCGGGAAACCGUAGCUAAUACCGGAUAAUAUUUUGAACCGCAUGGUUCAAAAGUGAAAGACGGUCUUGCUGUCACUUAUAGAUGGAUCCGCGCUGCAUUAGCUAGUUGGUAAGGUAACGGCUUACCAAGGCAACGAUGCAUAGCCGACCUGAGAGGGUGAUCGGCCACACUGGAACUGAGACACGGUCCAGACUCCUACGGGAGGCAGCAGUAGGGAAUCUUCCGCAAUGGGCGAAAGCCUGACGGAGCAACGCCGCGGGAGUGAUGAAGGUCUUCGGAUCGUAAAACGCUGUUAUUAGGGAAGAACAUAUGUGUAAGUAACUGUGCACAUCUUGACGGUACCUAAUCAGAAAGCCACGGCUAACUACGU
Molecule: ribosomal RNA, 496 nt
Filed under: uncultured bacterium
Lineage: Bacteria
Description: partial 16S ribosomal RNA
Rfam family: Bacterial small subunit ribosomal RNA
Source: RNAcentral